CAAAUACAAAAAAAAAAUAUUCGUUGUUCCGGAUAACCUCGUUUCGGCGAUCUGAAUCAUAUCGUUCACUACUUUGACCCGUUCAAAAGAUUCGGUUCGUUGGCAAACGACGCAUCUCUACGUUGUAAUACCACGUUUUUAAUGGCGAUUAUAAAUGAAUACGUUCGAAUGUACCUGCGCCGGUUAUGUUAAAUUUUUUAAUGCCAAAAAUAAUACGACUCGCCACGCUAAAUAGCACGACGGAAUAAAAUUUCAAUGUUCUCCGUGUCCGAAAAUGUUUUCGCGUAAAGAAAACCUGGCCGGACACGUUAAAAUCGUUCAUCGUUUCAUCGUGACGGAAGAUUCGCCACGCCGACUAUUCCCCCAGGGGCCAGACCAUCGACUUCAACUGUGCUACGGACUACUGACGAAGGAAAUGACGAACCGUUUAUGGAAAUCGAUAUGGAUAAAGGGUAAGAUUUCUUUUAUUAUGGCCCACCACAUAGCGUGGGAAUAAGUUUUAAGUUUUUUUUUUUUUUUUUUGGUAGGUAGGAAACGUAAGAAAGAAGAUACCGCAGCCCGAGUAAAGAAAUCAAGGAUAAAGUUAGUGAAAACACCGGGAUUCAUCGAAAUAGAUUCUUCGUUCUCCAGUAAAAUCAUGUGGUANUUUUUUUUUUUUUUUUUUGGUAGGUAGGAAACGUAAGAAAGAAGAUACCGCAGCCCGAGUAAAGAAAUCGAGGAUAAAAUUAGUGAAAACACCGGGAUUCAUCGAAAUAGAUUCUUCGUUUUCCAGUCAAAUCGUGUAGUACUAUUCUAAAAAUAUUUCAAGCAUACAAAAUCAACGACAAUUUCACCGUUCAAUCGAACCCGCACUUAAAGACCUUUUUUUGUCUCAAGUGACCGACGAGGGGCAGGCGGACCAUUUCUACCUUUUUUUAAUGACCUAAAAAAAAAAAUUUACAUUAUAUCUACAUCUCAAAUUUUUCCUGUCUUGUACUAUCACAGAAAACUACACAUAUUGGAGAAGUAAAUUUAUGUAAUCAGUGUUUGACGUCUUUCGAUAACCAGAAACUUAUAAAUAAAUUGAUCCGACAGGCAAUACCUGACCAACUUAAAUGGAUUUACUGCGAACAUAAACCUAUUUUGCCCAUCUUACCCGAAUCCAGUUCGGAAUCAUGUUUAGAAGCCAUGGAGAAAACACAACAUCAUUCUAUUGUUAUAUAAACUGAUUUCAAAGCUAUUUUAGAGAAGAAAGAUAAACAGAAAGGAGUGUACGCCAAUUAUCAAAAAAGAAUAUUCAGCAACUAAAAAAAUAAAAAUUGAACCCAUAGAUAUUUCAUUUGACUACAACAUUGUGAACAUAUAUUGAACCCAUAGAUAUGCGUUCCCAAAAUUGUAGUCAAAUGAAAUAUCUAUGGGUUCAAUUUUUAUUUUUUUAGUUGGUGAAUAUUAUUUCUUGAUAAUUGGCGUACACUCCUUUCUUUACUGAAAUAGCUUUGAAAUCAGCGUAUAUAACAAUGGUAUGAUGUUGUGUUUUCUUCAUUGUUUCCAAACAUGAUUUUGAACUGGAAUCGGGUAUGAUGGGCAAAAUAAGUUUACGUCCGCAAUAAAUCCAUUUAUGUUGGUCAAGUAUUGCCUGUCCAAUCAAUUUAUUUUUAAGUUUCUGGUUAUCGAAAGAUGUGAAACAUUGUUUACGGAAAAUUACUUCUCCCUUAUGUGUGGUUUUCUGUGAUCAUACACGAUGGGAAAAAUUUGAGAUGUAGAUAUAAUGUAAAUUUUUUUUUUUAGGUCCUUAAAGGAAGGUAAAAAUGGUCCGUUUUCUCCUCAGUCGUCACUUUAAGCCGAAAAACUGUGUGUACGGUUUUUUUGUAUCUUUCUUCCUUCUUCAGUCCGUAAACAUUUAUCGACCCAUUCAAAUUUUUUAAUGUCUUAAUGUUUAAAAUUUUUUUUUCAAAUUUUUUAAUGUUUGAAAGCGGGGUUGAGUACGUCAAUCCGGAGAAAUUGUAUUUAUUUUCGUGUUCGGUAUAAUUUGAACCAACGCGGUCUCUGUUUUACAUUUUGACUGUGAUAUACCUGAUGAUACCAGGGAUAUUCCAAUUUUAAAUAUUAUUAUAUUACUCAUUAUGUUCAUAUUUUAUAAUUUGAUAUAUUGAAUUAAGUGUUGUCUUUAAAAUUGUUGUUAUAUAUUGUUUAAAUAAUGUAUAAUAAAAUUGUAUGCUUGGUAUUCUUUUGUUUUAACUUUCCUUGGCCAUUUUUGUAUGUCAAAUAAAAAUUAAUUUUGUGUCAAAUAUCAAUUGAAACAUCGGUAUUUUUUUUUAUAAAUUUCCCCUGGAUUCUAACUUCUCACUUUCCUCGACAAAAGCAGUGACAGCUUUUUUGUAAAUCAUAUUUAAUAUACGAUAUAACACCAAUGUAUAAUAUUAUAAAUAUAUUCAAUUCAUAUUGAAUUAAAUUUUUUUCAUUGUUGUAUAACACAAAAAUUAAC
This 2464-nucleotide long non-coding RNA is filed under the name Cinara cedri. Lineage: Eukaryota; Metazoa; Arthropoda; Insecta; Hemiptera; Aphididae. The record is from RNAcentral.